GACGGAGGGUGCUAGCGUUGUUCGGAAUCACUGGGCGUAAAGGGCGCGUAGGCGGCCAAGGCAGUCGGCUCGUGAAAGCCCGGGGCUCAACCCCGGAGGUGCGGCCGAUACUCUUUGGCUCGAGGCCGGAAGAGGAGGGUGGAAUACCCAGUGUAGAGGUGAAAUUCGUAGAUAUUGGGUGGAACACCGGUGGCGAAAGCGGCUCUCUGGUCCGGUCCUGACGCUGAGGCGCGAAAGCGUGGGGAGCAAA
Molecule: ribosomal RNA, 250 nt
Filed under: uncultured bacterium
Lineage: Bacteria
Also listed under: 1 other name
Description: partial 16S ribosomal RNA
Rfam family: Bacterial small subunit ribosomal RNA
Source: RNAcentral